UACAGAGGUCCCAAGCGUUGUUCGGAUUCACUGGGCGUAAAGGGUGCGUAGGUGGCCAGGUAAGUUUGGUGUGAAAGCUCGGAGCUUAACUCCGAAAAGUCAUUGAAUACUAUCUGGCUGGAGGGUCGGAGGGGGGACUGGAAUUCUCGGUGUAGCAGUGAAAUGCGUAGAUAUCGAGAGGAACACCAGUGGCGAAGGCGGUUGCCUGGGGCUUUGCUGACGCUGAUGCGCGAAAGCGUGGGGAGCGAUCCGG
Molecule: ribosomal RNA, 253 nt
Filed under: uncultured bacterium
Lineage: Bacteria
Description: partial 16S ribosomal RNA
Rfam family: Bacterial small subunit ribosomal RNA
Source: RNAcentral